Molecule: long non-coding RNA, 8091 nt
Filed under: Triticum aestivum (bread wheat)
Lineage: Eukaryota; Viridiplantae; Streptophyta; Magnoliopsida; Poales; Poaceae
Description: long non-coding RNA (TAES_LNC018720)
Source: RNAcentral
CACUGGAUUCUGCUAAAUAUUGAACUUCACACCUUCAGAGUUCUAAUCAUGGACUCUAUGGAUUCGGAUCCAAAGCGUUGGGCCGACAUGAGAAAAAUGCUGCAAAAGUAAUUAUUUUCAAUCAUUUGAGCUCUAUAUCGAUCGGUCUCUUUCGUUCAUUUCCUAAUAUCAAGUAACUAAUAACUCCCUUGUUCAUUUAAUUUUCUUUGCCUUGUAGGGUUUGGAGACGGUUCUCAGAAGAAAUUGUCGGUGAAUUCAAACAUGAGCUAGAUUUCAGAAGGUUAGUUAAUGUGGAUAAGCAGCCACCGGGGACCAAUCUAUGUGGAUACUAUGUUUGUGAGAACAUCCGGAGACACACCUCUGAGCGGAAGGCAUCGGAUAGCGUGCGGAACGCGACGGAUAACUUGCGGAGGAGGCUUAGUCCAGAAGCUCGCUUCCGACCAAUUCAAGAAGAAUUAGCAGGAUUUUUCAUGAGGGAAGUCAUCAAUCCUAAAGGAGAACACUAUACCGAGGACGAAGAAAUUUAUAUGCAUACCCGAGAUUGAAACUUGUACGAAGUUGUAUAUGGUCAUCCAUCCUAAUUGUGUAUGGAAACUUGUUCGAAGUUGUAUAUGGUCACCCGAGAUUGAAUAUAUAUUAUAUAUUCCUCUUGAAUUCUUCUUGUUUGAAAUUUCAUAUGCAUGUAUAUAGUAGCGUAGAAUAUGUGUACUGAAACUUUAUCAAAAUUAAAAUAAAACACAAAAUAUAAUAUAAAAGAAAUAAAACACUCCAAACUAAAAAGAAACCAGGUUUAGGGGGGCUAAAACCCUAAACCUGCGGAGGAGGCCUUUAGUCCCGGUUGGCCACGAGAGCCGGGACUAAAGGUCCUCCGCCCCGACGGACCACGGGCGCCCACGUGGACGGGCCUUUAGUCCCGGUCAGCCACAAGAACCGGGACUAAAGCCUUUAGUCGCGGUCCGUAAGAGGCGCGACUAAGGGGGGGAGGAUCUUUAGUCGCGCAUAUUUAGUCCCGGUUGCACAGCCGGGACUAAAGGCUGUUGCGAACCGGGACUAAAGGGCUUUUUUCUACCAGUGGAGCUCCAUGGAGCUCGGCCUUUGCAACGCCACACUCCUAAAUGGGCCGACUACUAGGGCUGCCAAUUACAGGUAUUCUUUAUUUGUUCAUAAACAUCAAAAACCGUGUAUUCAUUUUUUACACACUGAAAACUAUGAUUACAAAUAAAUUGAUAAUGGAAACUGUUUGCUUAUUAUGGAAUAGUGUCGUGCAUUUAAAAGUUGAUGUUCAUGAGUUUAAAAAGAAAUGUUCACGUACUUCAAAAAGUAUUUACAUAACUCGAAGGAGAUGUUCAUGUAUUCAAAUAAAAAUGUCCAUACAUAUGAAAUAAAUCCUUAUGACUUAAAUAAAUCACGUUUUAAAAGUAAAUGUUCACAUACUACCAAAAUGUUCAACUGUUUGUAAAAAAAGAUGUAAAUAAUAAAUAAUAGUGAACUUUUAAAAAUAGAAACAACAAAAAGUAAUCCCUGAUCAUGGGCAGUAUGAUUUGAUCUAUACUCUUUGCAAUGAGUGUAUGAUAGGGUUCACUCAUAAAACUUACACCUCGCGUAUUGCGAAAUAUAGCAAGCACUUGCCAAUGUGCGCGUGCACAUUUACCACAGCCCAGCACAACUUGUUUUGGUUUUUAUUGUUUGUUGUUUGUUUAAAUUUCCGUUAUUUCUUUCCGUUUUGUGUCUCUUAUAAUUUCUAUUUUUUUUUGUUACUUUUUCUUAUUUCUUGUAUUUAAUUUCUCGCAUUUUUACUCCUCUUUCCUUUUUUUUCUUCUGUUUGACCAUUUCUUUUUAUUUUUGGUAUAUCAUAUUUUUUUGGUUACGUAUAUUAACACUACAUUUUAAGAAAAAUCGUACUUUUAAAAACAUACAAACAUUUUAUGAAAAAGGUUAACACUUUAAGAAAACAAAUGAAUUUCACAAAAAUAUUUGAAUAAUUUUGAAUUAAUUAUAUAUUUUUCCAAAAAUCAGAAUUUUAAAAAAAUUACAUGAACAUUUUGGAAGAGCUCUGCUUUUUGUAAUGCUGCAUUAUUUUUCGGUAAAAGUAUGUGAACAUUUAUUUAUUUAGAUAAACAUGUCUAAAAAGUGUGUGAAAAUGUUUUUAUGUACAUUAAUACUUUCUAAAAUAUGUUAACACUGUUUCAGUUAGAUGAGAAUUUUUAAAUACGUAAAUACUUUUUGGUUACAUGAAUGUUGUUUAAAAAGUACGUGUAUAUUUAAUGCAGUAUGCAAACAGUUUUUAGAAGUACAUGAAUUAUUUAUUUGUUUAGACGUGCAUGUAUGUUUUACAACAAAUGAUGUUUUACCUACCAAUCGUGGACAUAAGGCUAUUGGGUUGGCCAUCUUGGCGUGUCCCAUUAACAGGUAUUUCUUCUUUUUUUUGAUAAAUUGUGAAAGUAUAUUUAUCUUGCUAAUAUUCAUGCACUUUCAAAAAUGUUUACUGAAUUUCCAAAAAAGCCAAAAAGUCAAAAAAAUAAAAUGAAAAGGAUAAGUAGAAAAAAUGCCGAACCCGUGGGGAAAAAUAGAAAAGACUCGCAAUGAAAAUCAGUAGAACCAACUAUAGCUACAGUUACCGCUCUUGUAUGUAGCCUGCCACUAUGACGCUCUCGUCUGUGUGUUUCAGCGACAAUUUGUGGCAACGGGCAAAGAAUAUGAAAUUCCCUUUGUUAUGGGCUUUGUGUACACGCCACGCCCCUAAGCCUAAGGAAAACAUUUUGGCCCGUGAGAGAUUACCUCAGGAGAUGUAUGUAUUUUUUACAUGGCUCGAACAAGGUUCAAGUGACGCAAGUGUCCGAUGGAAGUAGAUGAAGCUCCCAGUUUCUUGUUAUCGCAUGUACUACUCGAUGUAACUCUGUCAAACAGAGAGUGGGACCCAGCUAACAGCGGAUGAGUAGUGCUGAUUGGGCCCUACUCUGGGACUCAGGUUCCCGCGUAAUAUGAUGCCAUAUAGCUGCAUUUUCUGAACCGUUAGCGGCACAAUUUUUAAGAUGAUUAUCAAACCAAACGCCCCUAAGCCUAAGGAAAACAUUUGUGUUCUGCGAUCAGCGCCUAAUUCUUACAAUGGUCAGAACACGUGGUAUUUAAGAUGUAUGGUGGAAGAAGACCCUUAGAUGGCUAGAGAGCCUUGACUAUGGUGCUGUCCAUGGUCCCUUUUGUUGCUUGACGAGCCUGCGCGCUCUGUACGGGCUAUGCCCUGUAAUUUGUCUUCGGUUCGGUUGAGUCGCGCAUGAAACUUUCGAUGAUCCUUUUGCGCUGGCCGGGUAGGCCUGUGGGGUUGUAAUAUGACUUGUUCACGCUGCCGCUGUGGCUUUAUUAAUUUAAAGCCGGACGCGUUCGUGCGUCUUCGUUCUAAAAAAAAGACCAUUAGAUCGAAGUAAAGCAUCACAAGAACAAUAUUAUCAUAGAAAACAACAUCACAAAAGAUACAACAAGGCCAACAGUAGGUGGAGGCGUAUGCACUUGAGAAAGGAUGCGUGUGUGCUGAUAUCUCUACCUCAACUGAUCAAGAUUACAACAAAUUCAGCACACAUGCAUGCGUUACUGUCCACCCUAGACUACUCUAGAAGCCCAUGGUGUACACACCAUAUGUCUGCUUGUACAAAUUCCAACACUUUUUGUCAAUCGCUACUUUAUCAAGUUGAGAAAUGUGCCCCUUUGGCCAUAACAAAGCUUUGCUUUUGGGUCUGUAUCAAACCGCUUUAUUUGUUUUGUACUACUUUUUGUUGUAAACGCUUUUAAGGGCUUCAGUUCGCUAAAGCCAGGCAAGCGCCUCCUUUCUAAAAGAUUGUUCCUAAAGUUAUCUAGUUUUGCCUGUUAGAUAAUCGCUUUGGAAACACAUGUACAACUUGUGCCGGGAUGCGUGCGUGUUGAUAUAAGGUGCCGGUUUGGCUAGAUUACAGAGGAGUUCGGUUGAGACGUGGAUUGGAUCCCAAGUUAGCUAUAUAGAUAAGGAUCCUUUCUCUCUCCCAACCAGAUCUGCAUCAGGCGUGUGUGGUAAACAAAACCAAAAUCAGUUCAGAAAGCGCCAUUUCUGACUGGACAAGCUUAUUUCUGACAUAUCUGAUUGCAAAAGCUAGGUUCACUGGCCUAGCUAACGGCAGAGACAUCUUUUUCAUAGUAUAAAUAGACCCCUUAAUUAAGCUCAUGGCCAUAUCCAACAAACCAUUUGUUGUAGAACAUCAUCCAUAGCCAGCAGCCACAAUGGAAGCGAGCGCGCAACAAGGCAACUAUGUCCAAGUCUACGUCAUGCUCCCUGUAAGCACCAUCCAUUCAACUCAAUCUCUACGCACCAUGCACUACAACUAUUUCAAGGAUCUAAUUGACACAUGCAAUGCUGUACAUAUAAUACCGUUAUUCGUAACACUCUAGUUUAAAGGGUGAAGUUAACAAGAUCUGAGGCCUCAAAUGAGCAUUUUUUUGGUACUAACCUUGACUUCGUUUUCGUUGUGGAAAUAAAUAGCUGGACAUCGUGAGCGUGAACAACAGGUUCGAGAAGGGUGACGAGCUCAGGGGGCAACUGAAGAGGCUGGUAGAGGCCGGUGUGGAUGGUGUCAUGGUAGACGUCUGGUGGGGCUUGGUGGAGGGCAAGGGCCCCAGGGUGUACGACUGGUCCGCCUACAAGCAAUUGUUUGAGCUGGUGCAUGAGGCUGGACUGAAGUUACAAGCCAUCAUGUCAUUCCACCAGUGUGGUGGCAACGUCGGUGACGUCGUCAACAUCCCGAUCCCGCAGUGGGUGCGUAAUGUCGGAGUGAGUGAUCCGGACAUUUUCUACACCGACCAGCACGGGACUAGGAACAUUGAGUACCUCACCCUUGGAGUUGAUGACCAGCCUCUCUUCCAUGGAAGAUCUGCCGUCCAGGUUAAUUUUAAACCACCACUCUAGUUCUCUCGUACUUAUUUUUUUUCACUCAAAUGUGUGAUGUUUUGUGUAUAUUAGAGAGAAAAUUUCAAGAUGAAUCCAAAUACAAGCAAAAGGCCAAAAGGUGGCAAAAAUAUAUAACAAAAGAAACGAAAUCUAGCCAGUGAAAAGAAUAUAGAGCCUAACCAACAACAACAUCGAGAAGGUUACUAGAGAGGAUGAGUCUUGACAACACUUCAGCUCUCAUGCAUUUUUUUGGGGGGUGUGAAAAACACCGACCUCUGAAUCGAUUGAUGCAGACAAUAUUCUAUUGUAAGCUAUUAGGAAGAACAAAUAGUUGUGAUUUUGAUAGGUACAAUGUGCUGAUGAUAGAAUGCUUUGAUUCUUCUUCGUGGCUGUGACAGAUGUACGCCGAUUACAUGGCAAGCUUCAGGGACAACAUGAAAGAGUUCUUGGAUGCCGGUCUUAUUGUAGACAUUGAAGUCGGACUUGGCCCAGCUGGAGAGUUGAGGUACCCAUCCUAUCCUCAGAGCCACGGAUGGUCAUUCCCAGGCAUCGGAGAAUUCAUCGUGAGUGUUUUCUUCUCGAAUAAAAAUGCUUCCUCUUCUGUUCCGACCAAUAUAUACUUUUGCAUGUAACAUGUGAUGACCAAAUGCGGUUUAGUAUCGUCCAAGUGACAAUCUACAUUGGAAAAGUUUUUUCAACAAACCAACACCCAAAUGAAAAGUGAUUCUUAUGAAAAAUGCAAGGAUAAAAUGGCAAUUUCAGAUCAGAACAAGGCAUGGCUAAACCCGACUUCAUCAGUUCUGCUAUCCCAUAUACCCCUGUCCCAAUUUUCUCUUUUUUAUUUCUCCUAUAUAAGACAUCAUACAAACUUGAUACAUUCGAACUACAAUAUGAGAAAAAUAUAGGAUUCAUUUGUGCAACAUAAAUACAUAAACUGAUAUUUUUAUUGGGAAAAGACAGAUUUCAUAUAUUUAUGCUACACCAAAAAAAUAAUCCAAAAUGGCUUUCUGCACAUUAUAGUCCAUAUUUCAAGUUCAUAUAUUAUUUUUUGGAAGAAACAAAAAAUAAGUAUCUGUAUGGUGAGAAUAGUGGGGGAGGGGGGGGUGUUGCACCUGAAUCCAAGUUUAGGAAGGUUACCAUUACUUUUGGCUUCCGAGAGACAAGUAUCAUAAGCAAAGACAAGGCCAUCUAAAAAUAGAUGAUAGGAAAUAAUUAAAACAAAUGUAAAAUAAUCUAUACCAUCACCAUUAAAGACAAAAUGACUCCAUUUAUUAACUGUUUUAACUAAUAGUACAAAUAAAAAAAAAUCUGCAGUGCUAUGAUAAGUACCUGCAAGCAGACUUCAAAGCAGCAGCAGCGAUGGUUGGCCAUCCUGAGUGGGAAUUUCCUCGCGAUGCCGGGACGUACAAUGACACUCCCCAGAGAACUCGAUUCUUCGUGGACAACGGAACAUAUCUCACUGAGCAGGGGAGGUUUUUCCUUGCAUGGUACUCCAAUAACCUGAUCAAGCAUGGUGACAAGAUCUUGGACGAAGCAAACAAGGUCUUCUUGGGACACACAGUGCAACUGGCAAUCAAAGUAAGUACCAUCAUCCUAAAGAUCUCAGUUUAUUACAAUAGUAGAUAGGAUUUGAGAACCCAUGAUUCAGUUGAGAAGUAGUGUAUGAUAAACUACAAAAAAUACACAAAUUCAUUAUAACACUCUAGGCUAAAGGAACUUGCAUUUUCUUAAUCUAGAAUGUAAAUGAGACAUGGCCAAAUCUUUGGUUACAGAUCUCUGGCAUUCACUGGUGGUACAAGGUUCCAAGCCAUGCAGCCGAGGUCACAGCUGGGUACUACAACUUACAUGAUAGAGACGGCUACAGACCCAUAGCACGCAUGCUCAAAAGGCACCAUGCUAGUCUUAACUUCACUUGCGCCGAGAUGAGGGACUCGGAGCAAAGCUCACAGGCGAUGAGCGCACCGGAAGAACUAGUCCAACAGGUAGGUACCUUGUGCCUCCAGAUUUUACGCUUAGACAUCUCUGAUAGACACAUCUCACGUACUUGUCGUCGAAAUUCUCAGGUGUUGAGCGCUGGAUGGAGAGAGGGCCUAAAUAUGGCAUGCGAAAAUGCACUUCCUCGAUAUGAUCCAACUGCUUACAACACCAUACUCAGGAAUGCGAGGCCUCAUGGCAUCAACAAGAGCGGCCCUCCUGAGCACAAGCUGUUUGGAUUCACCUACCUUCGGCUGUCGAAUCAGUUGGUGGAGGGACAAAACUAUGUCAAUUUCAAGACCUUUGUUGACAGAAUGCAUGCCAACCUGGUUAGUGCCACAACCACUUAUUCACGCAUGUAAAAAAUAAAACAGAGGAAUCAUAAAUUUGUUGAUUUGCAUCGGCCUAUAAUAAUAAUGUAAUUUGAUCCUUUUCAGCCUCAUGACCCAUGUGUUGAUCCAGUGGCGCCUUUGCAAAGAUCAGGGCCAGAACUGACGAUUGAAAUGAUCCUACAAGCAGCGCAGCCAAAACUGGAGCCAUUCCCCUUUGAAGAGCACACCGACCUGCCAGUUCAAGGCCUCGGUGGCAUCGGUGGUGGGGAGGUUGAAGACCCCACUGGUGGCAUGGGUGGGGAGGUUCAACAAGACCCCACUGGUGGCAUGGGUGGGGAGGUUCAACAAGACCCCACUGGUGGCAUGGGUGGGGAGGUUGAAGACCCUACCGGUGGCAUGGGUGGGGAGCUCCCUCCCACCGUGUAGUGAAACCUUUACUAUCUACAAUACCUUUUAUGUUGUGUGUCACAGAGAAACCUUUCUCUGCCUUAUUAACAAUAAAUAAAGCACAUUACUUGUGCGUGUUCUGGAAGAAAAAUCUCAGCGUUGUAGUCUACGAGAAGGGUUAAUCGUCUCUUUGUGAGAAUUGACGCGCCCUAAAAGUAAGCCGAUGAGGAUAAAUAAGAUGUGGUGCUACGGUACAUCAUGAGGAUUACUCAUCAAUAUUGGAUUAGUCAUCAGAAGGAUGCUUUUCCGACGAGCUGUAGUACAUCAGACCUUACAUACCUCCAUUAUGUGCAUAUGAGUGAAUGAAUAAAGUAUAUUGUGCUCAUUUAGUGAUUGUAUAUGGGUCCAUCAUUUUGGAUUUUGUCGUGGUCUUGGAAUACGGUGGGAAGGAUAUCUAGUGCAUGUUCACGAUUACCACUCGCAUGGUUU